This 510-nucleotide ribosomal RNA is filed under the name uncultured bacterium. Its description in RNAcentral is "partial 16S ribosomal RNA". It matches the Rfam family "Bacterial small subunit ribosomal RNA", at positions 28 to 507 of the family's 1533-position model. The record is from RNAcentral.
GACGAACGCUGGCGGCGUGCUUAACACAUGCAAGUCGAACGAAGAGCGAUGGAAGUUUGCUUCUAUCCGUCUUAGUGGCGAACGGGUGAGUAACGCGUAAUCAACCUGCCCUUCAGAGGGGGACAACAGUUGGAAACGACUGCUAAUACCACAUACGAUUUAACCUCGGCGUCGAGGAGAGAUGAACGGUGGUCUCGAUGUAUAUGCUAUCACUGAAGGAGGGUAUUGCGUCUGAUUAGCUAGUUGGAUGGGUAACGGCCCACCAAGGCGAUGAUCAGUAGGCGGUCUGAGAGGAGGGAUGGCCACAUUGGGAAGGGGACACGGCCCAGAGUGCCUCGGGAAGGAGCAAGGGGGAAACGUGCGGAAUGGGCGAAAAGCUGACCGAGAAAAGCCGCGGGAGUGAUGACGGCCGUCGGGUUGUAAAGCUCUGUUUAUCGGGACGAAACGGCUUCCUGCGAAUAGUGAGAAGGAUUGACGGUACCGGAUAAGAAAGCCACGGCUAACUACGUG